Non-coding RNA from Camellia sinensis, 1272 nucleotides. The record is from RefSeq and is a predicted model, not a curated record. NCBI's taxonomy places the organism in Eukaryota, Viridiplantae, Streptophyta, Magnoliopsida, Ericales, Theaceae.
UUACCGCUCAAGCGAUGGAAAGUUCACUCGAGUGGUCCCUUUGUAUUUUGGCACUUCGCUUGAGCGAUGGAAAGUUCGCUCGAGCGGUUUGGUCGGGGUAGCAGGGUUAUAUUGUGAUCCAAACACUUGUCUAACUCAUUUCUCUCACACGGCCCUAUUUCCAAAACCCUAGCUAAAACACCCUAGAUUUCAUCUAGUAAGAACAAGAAUCGAUCUUUGGACCUUCAUUAAAAUUGUUAUCCUCGUCAAGAACUACGUUUUGAACCGAUUAGAUCGUGAUAUCUUGGAAGCUCAUAGUGUGGACCUUCAUCUCUCUUUGUGCAACCUUGAGGUAGGAAUAUUUUUACUUUUCUAUAUUUAUAUUUUGGCUUAAAUGUGUGUGAAUCUUAAGAUGGGUGGAACUAUUGAGAUGGAUGUGGUAUAUGCAUAUAUAUAUAUAUGGGCUUUGUGUUGAUGAAGUGUUUGUGUGAAAUUGAUGGUGGGUUGUGGAAUCAACUAUGAAAUAGUGAGUAAAUAGACUUGAAUCGAGGAAAAUAAAUAGUUAAAAGGAAAAGCCCCAAAUUUUCAUAUGUAACCCUAAGGGUUGUUUUUUAUUUGGACUUAAUGGAUAAUGGAUAAGUAAAAUUGGGAAGUCCUUGUGAUUAUUUGUGUUGUGUUUAAAAUGUUAAUGUUUUGGAAUGUGUUUGAGGUGCCCACAUGCCAGGUUCAUGUGAGGAUGACGAAUGUGGGAAUGUGUUUGAGGUGCCCACUUGCCUGAUUCGCGUGAGUGUGACGAAUGUGGGGAUGUUGUGAGGUGUCCACUAGCCGGUUCAAGUGAAGAUGACAAAAGUGGAAGGUUUGAGAUGUUCACUGGCCAUUCGUGUGAGGACGAAAAAAUAUGGAGACUGAAUGGUAAAUUGUGUGCUGUGUAAUAAUUUCUAAACCAAUGGAAAUUCAUGGGCAUCAAUAAAGGAAAUGAAGAGCCCCACAACCAUCAAUGAAGAAGAAAACGACUACCUUUUUUCAAAAAUCUAAACUUUUGUGAACUUGAGGUUGUAAACUCCUUUUCUACUUUUAUUUUGAAUUUUGUAUUUUUGUAUUAAAUGUCACAAUGUAAUUAGUAACUCAGAGGACAAUGUAAUUGUUUUGUAAUCUUCUCCAACUCAUUGAACUGAGAUAAGUAUUUUGUAAUUUUGUAAACAAAAUUUGUAGUUUAAUGAAAAAGAGAAACAUUUGCAUGGGAUUGUGUCAUGUUUUUAUGUAGAGGAUGUUCUUUUAAUUGUUUAAUGGGAA